RNAcentral lists this unclassified non-coding RNA (353 nucleotides) under Zea mays. Its description in RNAcentral is "misc RNA Zm00001eb364760". Lineage: Eukaryota; Viridiplantae; Streptophyta; Magnoliopsida; Poales; Poaceae. The record is from RNAcentral.
GAAGUAAACGCUCUCAGAGCUAGUGCUGAAACCAAACACCUCCCUGUCAUUUGGGAUCAGGGCAAAGCAGCUGCUGAGAGUACAGUAAUUGCAGUUCCUGAACAUAAGAAGCUCAAGGAUAUUAAGUACCUCCAUCCUUUUGAAAAUAAGAAGAAGGAAUGGCUUGUCAUCGUAAAGGUGCUCAAGAUUGAUAGCUCAUGGUGGUACAACGCAUGCAAAAAAUGCCUUAGGACAACCAAACCGCAUGGUGACACAUACAAGUGCACCAAUAAUUCCUGUGACAACAUAGGAUCGCCUACCCCAAGUGCUUUUGGACACGAGCAGCACCGGCUAUGGAGGCCCACUUUUGGGAA